AUUGAACGCUGGCGGCAGGCCUAACACAUGCAAGUCGAGCGGUAGCACAGAGAGCUUGCUCUCGGGUGACGAGCGGCGGACGGGUGAGUAAUGUCUGGGAAACUGCCUGAUGGAGGGGGAUAACUACUGGAAACGGUAGCUAAUACCGCAUAACGUCGCAAGAUCAAAGUGGGGGACCUUCGGGCCUCAUGCCAUCAGAUGUGCCCAGAUGGGACUAGCUAGUAGGUGGGGUAACGGCUCACCUAGGCGACGAUCCCUAGCUGGUCUGAGAGGAUGACCAGCCACACUGGAACUGAGACACGGUCCAGACUCCUACGGGAGGCAGCAGUGGGGAAUAUUGCACAAUGGGCGCAAGCCUGAUGCAGCCAUGCCGCGUGUGUGAAGAAGGCCUUCGGGUUGUAAAGCACUUUCAGCGGGGAGGAAGGCGGUGAGGUUAAUAACCUCACCGAUAGACGUUACCCGCAGAAGAAGCACCGGCUAACUCCGUGCCAGCAGCCGCGGUAA
Molecule: ribosomal RNA, 504 nt
Filed under: uncultured bacterium
Lineage: Bacteria
Description: partial 16S ribosomal RNA
Rfam family: Bacterial small subunit ribosomal RNA
Source: RNAcentral